AAAAAAACCCCAACCCCCCCCCAAACCCCCGUCUGAUCUCGGAAGCUAAGCAGGGUCGGGCCUGGUUAGUACCUGGAUGGGAGACCACCUAGGAAGACCAGGUGCUGUAGGUG
This 113-nucleotide ribosomal RNA is filed under the name Pteropus alecto (black flying fox). Lineage: Eukaryota; Metazoa; Chordata; Mammalia; Chiroptera; Pteropodidae. The record is from RNAcentral.